AACGAACGCUGGCGGCAUGCCUAACACAUGCAAGUCGAACGAGACCUUCGGGUCUAGUGGCGCACGGGUGCGUAACGCGUGGGAACCUGCCCUUAGGUUCGGAAUAACUCCCCGAAAGGGGUGCUAAUACCGGAUAAUGUCUUCGGCCCAAAGAUUUAUCGCCUUUGGAUGGGCCCGCGUUGGAUUAGCUAGUUGGUAGGGUAAAAGCCUACCAAGGCGACGAUCCAUAGCUGGUCUGAGAGGAUGAUCAGCCACACUGGGACUGAGACACGGCCCAGACUCCUACGGGAGGCAGCAGUGGGGAAUAUUGGACAAUGGGCGAAAGCCUGAUCCAGCAAUGCCGCGUGAGUGAUGAAGACAUUAGGGUUGUAAAGCUCUUUUACCCGGGAUGAUAAUGACAGUACCGGGAGAAUAAGCUCCGGCUAACUCCGUG
RNAcentral lists this ribosomal RNA (433 nucleotides) under uncultured bacterium. RNAcentral's name for it is "partial 16S ribosomal RNA". It matches the Rfam family "Bacterial small subunit ribosomal RNA", at positions 29 to 507 of the family's 1533-position model. The record is from RNAcentral.